Molecule: transfer RNA, 66 nt
Filed under: Caryandoides hunanica
Lineage: Eukaryota; Metazoa; Arthropoda; Insecta; Orthoptera; Acrididae
Description: tRNA-Phe
Rfam family: tRNA
About the family: Transfer RNA (tRNA) molecules are approximately 80 nucleotides in length. Their secondary structure includes four short double-helical elements and three loops (D, anti-codon, and T loops).
Source: RNAcentral
AUUUAAAUAGCUUAUUUUUAGAGCGUAACACUGAAGAUGUUAAGGAAAUAAUUUUAUUUUUGAGUA